UGUUGCAGCGUGGGUGAACAGAGAGAGAGGCUGGAAGCUGGAUUAAGCUCUAUGCCUCCCAUCCCCAUUUCCCAACAAUGCUUCCUUUGUACCACUGAGCUAUGUCUUUCAGUAGAAGAGUGCUGUGGAGCUUCAGAAUUGCAAGAAGGAAAGAGCUAUCAAUCCUGCAACGUGAGAGGUCUGAUCGUCCCAGAGUAAUUCAGCCCAGUGCCCCAUGAGACUGUGGUGACCUGAGAUCAGAAGCAUGAUUUCAAAUUCUCAGGAUUGAAAUCAUCACGAUUUCAAAUCACCACGAUUUCAAAUCACAGGCAGCAUUCAAGGAAUGUGCAUAUGAAAAGGAAAGGCACUUCAAGCUUCUCGCUUUCAUUUACAUCACUGGAAUGUGGAAGUAGUUUCAGAAGAGUCAGAUGAGGCCCACGAGGCCUCAAGUCCUCGAAGGCUCACAGCAGCAUCGAGUUAUUCAUCAAUGCAACGGGUUCUGUGUGCACAGAGAGCCUCAGAGAGGCCACACUGCCACUCUACAGACCCAGGGAAAAGGCAGCCUGACAGAAGUCAUCCUGACAGGAGGACUCACAUCAUGCCAGGAAGGAUACAAGAAAUAAAAAGAGCUGAUCUCCAAUCCACAUCCACUCUUGGAUGCUCCUAAAUGGGUACAAUAUUCAGCGAGCAUCUUUUGAGUAGUGGAUACUUUUGUUUAGGGACACGAAGCCCAUGCCCUGCAGGAACAACUGCUGGUGUUAUCAACACCUGUGGACAAACAGCCCCUGCCUGCUGCCUCCAAGUACCAGGAAUGCUCCCUGGACACAAGUGCUACCCACAAGACCCAGAGUCACCAAGCUGGACUUGAGAAAGAUUACACAGCUUGAGCACAGGUUAAUGUCAGCAUUUGGUGAAUGAGAAGACACUUAUACUUGAAUGUUUACCCAAGAGAAAAUUCUGUAAUUUCUGAAUUUCUGCCUCAAAGAAGACCAAGGAGGCAGCAUUUCUGAAUUUCCUCCUAAUUUCCCACAAACCUCAGGGAGAAAAGAUUUUGAACAGUUCAAUUGAAUGUAAUAAUACAUAGAAAUACAUGAAGCUAUCUACAAAAAUAAAA
Molecule: non-coding RNA, 1093 nt
Organism: Cyanistes caeruleus (blue tit)
Lineage: Eukaryota; Metazoa; Chordata; Aves; Passeriformes; Paridae
Source: RefSeq, a predicted model, not a curated record